Molecule: long non-coding RNA, 4996 nt
Organism: Oncorhynchus tshawytscha (Chinook salmon)
Lineage: Eukaryota; Metazoa; Chordata; Actinopteri; Salmoniformes; Salmonidae
Source: Ensembl
AAGAUGCUAAAAACUAGCAGCUGAUUCGCUAGGUGGGCAUCAUUAAUUUGUGUCGUUUAUUUGGUCUGUAUUAGGGUAUGAGAAAGGGAGAUUGAAUGUCUGAAUCGUAAAACAUAGUAAUAAUGGAUUCUGAUGGUUAUUGAUUCCUGGUUUGAUUGUUUAUGUAACACCAGUGAAUUUGAGCACUGUUUCCAUUAUGUGGAACAAUGUUAGGGUAUUAAUGUUGAAAAGCAACCUCUAUAGUAAAAAACAAUUGCAUAUGUUUUGGGAAAUUAGCUAGGUUGAAUUUGGUUAUUUGAGCUUUUCCCCUGAUUCGUAGACAUCUGUAACAGGGGCAAGUUGUUUUUUCUUGAGGAACAUGCAGAAGGUGUUUUGUUUUAUUGAGAUGUAAACGUGAGUCUCUGGGUAAUUUUGUCACCUGAAGCAUUAUAGUAGUGAGUUUUUGUAUAGUUUGUUUUUUGCUGAUAAAAGUGUUUUGUUUAUUUGGUUACUGAUGAUUGUUUAUUCUAGGAGUUGAUUUAACUUAAUUAAGCAUUUGUUCUGGUGUGUUUAAGUAGGAUUCUUUAUACCGGGACGGAUGGAAGUUAUCUAAAAUAUGUAAGUUGAAGGAGCCAAGGGAAAAUACGUUUACAUUUUUAUUAAAUAUCUGGGAUUAAAUUACGGAUUUCUUACACUGAGAAAUGUACAACAUUUGUGGCAGAGGGAAAAAGUAAUACAUUGGAUAAUAAUGUUAUCAGGUUAAUUGUAUCUAAGGGUAGCAUGUUCAUUUAAGUAAACAUGUACAUUGGCGUUGUUUAAAAUUUAUGGUUAAUGAUUUGAGUUAAAGGGGAAUUAUCAUUAGGUUUAGUUUAUAGUUCACUUUUGAGUUUCUGAAUCGAAGUAGCAUAGUGAAUGCUAGUUAGGUGUGUUGUGUUCUUCUGGGAAAAUUGAUGUUUAGGUGGCUCACUUUUAGAUGUUUCCUGGGAUUAUAAUCUUGGGGAGAGUGGGUGAGAUUGAGGCCAUAAACGACCAAAUUGAAAAAGGCCUGGAAGUAUUGUUUAUUCAUUAAGGUUUGCAAAUAUAUACACAUAAAACAUUUGUUAGGACUAUUUGUUUUAGUGCAAAGGUAUUUUAAAGAGGCAAGCUCACAUAUGGAACUUUAUGAGUUUUUAUUUUAUGAGUUUUAAUUACACAAGUGAAUUUUUUUGAUUUUAAGGAUAAAGGUUUCUUUAAUAUGUCUAAUGUAGUAUGGAACAUGACUAUAAAAGGGUGGUAUGACCUAUUGACCUUAUCAUGGCUAUCUUUUGGGGUCUGAUCAGCCUCAGGGGAGAGCCAUUUGUAUAAUUAAUUUGUGGUCAUUUGGCUUACUAGUUUUAAGGUAAAUUAAUUAUAAUGGAGUUUUAGUUUGGGGUUAUAAUUAUUGUUUGAACCGCAAAUGAGAAAGUGGUUCAGGAUUCUGUUUUACAACAUUAGCUGUGAAGUUUUUGAAUUGGCUAUUAUUGAUUUGGUAUUACAACAGAGAAAAAAAAUCCUAUUUAUCAUUGAGAAUAAAUAGGGGGAGAUAAGAUUCAUUGAGGUUUGGAUAGGAGAUAUAUUAAGCCAAUAGGGCAGGGAAUUACAUAGCAAAAUAAGUUUAAGUUCUUAGGGGUGAUAAAUUACUGUGGAUAAAGUAUUCCACACUAUGCAACAUAUAUUCAAUUAAUGUUAUUGUCAGAUAGAAUAGUGAGGAUCCCUGAAGGAAAGAGCUUGUAAGUGUAGGAAGGAUUUUGAUAUGGUUAGCAUUUGUUUUGGCUUUGUUUGACUAUUAGGAGGUUUUUUAAAUAGUAUUACAUUUAACAGGAAUAUAGGACAUCUGUGAUGAUUUAGGAUUAUUGUUAGGAUUAAGAUAGAUUGAUAAAGGAAAUGUAAGGACUUUAGAGAUUGCCACUCAUAGACAUGUUUUUUUCUAAAAUCAAUUAUUUUAGAUAAAAUCAAACAGUGAGAAGCUUAGUGGUAUUUGAGAGAUAGGAGAGAAAAGGGUACUGUUUAAAUCGGUAAAUAUAUAUAUUUAUGAAAAUAUAUAAGUAUCACAGAUACUUCUUAAAGUAGAUAAGACACUUGACAGAGAAUUGGUACAGUAUUGACAUGAAUGGACGCCCAAGGGAGAAUUGGACAUGUGGAAAAUGAAAGGGGCUCCUACAUGUCAGACAUAAGGAUAAUUUACUAAUCUUACCAAAGUCAUUGUUUAGAGUAGGCAAGGUUGUUACCUGGGCAGAGCCAGGUAACAAAGGGGGAUGGGUAAAUUGUGUUCUAGGACAGGAUGUGACUACUGGAUAAUAAACAAUAAAAAUUUAAAAAAUAGCUAACAAGUAGGUAUAGAAGUUAAAGAUAUAAUCAGAUAGAACAAAUGAGAAACUGUUUGUUAACCAAACCUGUAUGUCCAAGAUUUUAUGCACUACAGGUGAAUUACAGGUGAAGUCACUCAAUCCAGUCCCUGAGGCCUGUUGGGGGGACCAUACCAAGGACUCCUGGGGACAGCUAGCUGAAAGAACUACCUGGAUUCAUAUCACACUGCGGGAGGAAGUGAAAAUGUGUCUGAAUCUUGCAAAUGAUGUGUUUUCUGGAAGAGGGUGGGGCUUUAUAGGUGAGCUGUCCAUCCUAAACUGUAUGGUUGGGAGACCUUAUUCCUGACCAUAUUCCUACAGCAUGAACCCGAGAAGGCCAGAGGGUAAUAUUGACAUAGUUAAACAAGGAGGAAUUAGUAUUAACCAAGCAUAAGAGAUCACUUGAUCUGGAUAAACAGGAAGUGAGAGUAGGAUAGGGAAGGAUCUCUCAGUGGAGUUCUAUGUAGCCCAAGUGGUGCCUCUGACUCCUUGGCAGUUCAGGACUAAGAGUAGCUAUUAUGGAAGACAUCUAUGCAAGUCUCUGUGUAGUUCAUGGAAACAGGUUAUAGCUCACAUCAUGUGAGAGGGCUACAUAAAUCUACAUACCCAGCAUGGAAGGAGAUGGAGUGUAGUGAAAGUAAGGAUUUCAGUUGAUAACCUAGUGCAUUCCAGGUAGAAAAAGUUAGAGCAGCUGAUUGCUCUAUAGUCAGCCGAAUACAAGCAGAGCCUCAAAGCAGAUACUGACUGUGGAGUUGUCCAGAGCCAAGAGCCGGUGUGGAUAGUUCAGAAAUGGAAUUAUUCACCUAAGGGAACAGCCUGUAUGGUAAAGCUAUUCAUGGAAGCAGGAAAGCCAGAUAAUAAGUUGUAUGGAUUUGCACUAUUUAUAUCCACAUGUUCCUCUGAAAUCUGAGCUUCCUCCUUUCACAGAGGCAAAGGGAGACUGUUUACUGUUUGAUUCAGUAUAGUACUUCUGGGAAAUAUGUGGGGGAAAAUCAGUAUUGCAAUAGGACAGAUAAUGUUACUUCUGAUGCGACCAAUGAGUGAUUUGGCAGGCUGGUUGAGAUCUGGGGAUUUCAGUAAGAUAAGGAGGCCCAGGGCUCACAUCUGUUGGUUGUGUGGGGGGAAUGACGUGAUGGCCGAGUAUUACUGGCUAAUUGAACAGGGGUGUGUGCACUGGUACAUUUGAGAAUGUCUUUCAUACUCAUUCAACACCAUGAUAUGAUGUUGACUAAACGGGAGAAAAUAAGUACUCCGUCUGGGUCUUUUGAUGAUAGGGUUUGUAUUAAUAACAUUGCGGUUCCAAGGGUGGCAGAUGAGAUCAAAGCUAUAAAUUAGAUCCUGGCAGGAUUAGAGUCAAGUAUUUUUUGGUGGUCCACUCUCAAUGAGUAUGUGGAUUGGAUCAAUUAUAUCUAUUAAAAAUCCACAGCGCUUCACCAAUUAUAUCAGAGAUGUAAUGAAUGGUUUGGCAGAAUAGAAUAGUCUUGGAUGUUUGCUGGCUGAAAAGGGUGGGAGGAGUGUAUGGAGGUAAUCUGGACUCCGAGGGUACAAUUAGGAUGGAUCAGUGACCAAGGCCUUGUCUGGUUUACACACCCUAGUUCACGAGUUGGCAGUAAACUCAGGGGUGGAUACUUUUCUGACUAAUUGGGUUGACAGUGUGUUUGGAAGAUGGAAAAAUGUUAUGAUUACUGUGUUAUGGGCUACCUUCACCUGUGUGACUGUGUUAGUUUUGUGCGGAUGUGGUUGAUUGCCUGUAUGAAAGUUAUCAUUUCCAGGACUCUGGAGAAAUCAAUGACACUUCAGAUGGUGAUAUAUGGACCAAUCCUAAACUCUGACCAGUUGAAUACAAAAUACAUGGCAUGGACGUAAUAGAAGAAUCCGGAUCCUUUCACUCGCGAGGAGACCAUAUUUGAUGUUUAGGAAAUGUAGAUGUUUUCUUGUUUCAAUGUAUAGAUUGUUUUUUCAUGAAGAUUAACAGACAAUCCUGAUGAGUAGAAUUAAGAUUCUGAUGUAGAUUAGAACAGUCAUUGAAGUUGAUUAUGUACAUACAUGUAUUGGUUGUCUUCUUCUAGUAUAUCAUUGAUAUUUCCAUGUAGUGUUUAAUGACGGUAUGAGUUGUUAAGUCAUUUUGAGGGUGGAUUGUUGGGAAAAUUAUGAUUAAAUGACUGAACAAAUCAUUUUAAAUGGAACUGUAACUAAGUAAAACUUAUACUCUGUUUUAUUAUAUCUGAUUAACAAUAUGAGUUCAUAAGAAGGGAUUGUGUGACACGGACAAGGAGUAAUUAAAGUUAAUGAACAUCAUUCCAACUAGGAAGAAACGAAUGGGUUGGGGACUGUGUAAACACAUAAGGUCGUUAGCCUAUGGUUGACCCUACAGAAACUUAGCUCUGGGUUGUUAGAGAAGACAGUGAGUGCAUUCCUAAGUUUUCUGUUAAUUAGCACUGUCAGCUCAGUGGUGAUCGAUAAUGUUGAGGGGUCAAAAGUUAUCUGGGAGUGUGUUAGUAAGUUAGAAUGAACUUUUCACCUCACUUUGUCCCGGUCGAGAGGAGGGGAUUCUGUUAAAGCAAUGAAAUGACGUCAUGAUCUGUAUAUAAACUGUUGCUCGUGGUUAAGUGUCAGCGCGCUCCGAGAAUAAAUUUUGUUACCUAUUAUUGAAA